RNAcentral lists this ribosomal RNA (461 nucleotides) under uncultured bacterium. Its description in RNAcentral is "bacterial SSU rRNA". It matches the Rfam family "Bacterial small subunit ribosomal RNA", at positions 30 to 483 of the family's 1533-position model. The record is from RNAcentral.
AUUGAACGCUGGCGGAAUGCUUUACACAUGCAAGUCGAACGGCAGCACGGGUGCUUGCACCUGGUGGCGAGUGGCGAACGGGUGAGUAAUGCACCGGAACGUAUCCAAUAAUGGGGGAUAACGCACCGAAAGGUGUGCUAAUACCGCAUACGCCCUGAGGGGGAAAGCGGGGGAUCGUAAGACCUCGCGUUAAUGGAGCGGCCGAUGCCGGAUUAGCUAGUUGGUGAGGUAAAGGCUCACCAAGGCGACGAUCCGUAGCUGGUCUGAGAGGACGACCAGCCACACUGGAACUGAGACACGGUCCAGACUCCUACGGGAGGCAGCAGUGGGGAAUUUUGGACAAUGGGCGCAAGCCUGAUCCAGCCAUGCCGCGUGAGUGAAGAAGGCCUCGGUUGUAAAGCUCUUUCGGUCCGGGAAGAAAUCGCAUGGGUUAAUACCCUGUGUGGAUGACGGUACCGGAA